CGCCCUUGAGUUUGAUCAUGGCUCAGAACGAACGCUGGCGGCAGGCUUAACACAUGCAAGUCGAGCGCCCCGCAAGGGGAGCGGCAGACGGGUGAGUAACGCGUGGGAAUUUACCCAGUGGUACGGAACAACCCAGGGAAACUUGGGCUAAUACCGUAUAAGUCCUUCGGGAGAAAGAUUUAUCGCCAUUGGAUGAGCCCGCGUCGGAUUAGCUAGUUGGUGGGGUAACGGCCUACCAAGGCGACGAUCCGUAGCUGGUCUGAGAGGAUGAUCAGCCACACUGGGACUGAGACACGGCCCAGACUCCUACGGGAGGCAGCAGUGGGGAAUAUUGGACAAUGGGCGCAAGCCUGAUCCAGCCAUGCCGCGUGAGUGAUGAAGGCCUUAGGGUUGUAAAGUUUUUUUGGCGGGGAAGAUAAUGACGGUACCCGCAGAAGAAGCCCCGGCUAACUUCGUGCCAGCAGCCGCGGUC
RNAcentral lists this ribosomal RNA (472 nucleotides) under uncultured Hyphomicrobiales bacterium. Its description in RNAcentral is "bacterial SSU rRNA". It matches the Rfam family "Bacterial small subunit ribosomal RNA", at positions 1 to 522 of the family's 1533-position model. Lineage: Bacteria; Pseudomonadati; Pseudomonadota; Alphaproteobacteria; Hyphomicrobiales. The record is from RNAcentral.